RNAcentral lists this ribosomal RNA (388 nucleotides) under uncultured bacterium. RNAcentral describes it as "bacterial SSU rRNA". It matches the Rfam family "Bacterial small subunit ribosomal RNA", at positions 28 to 416 of the family's 1533-position model. The record is from RNAcentral.
GAUGAACGCUAGCGGCAGGCCUAACACAUGCAAGUCGAGGGGCAGCACGUCUUCGGAUGGUGGCGACCGGCGCACGGGUGCGUAACGCGUAUGCAACCUACCUCUUACAGUGGGAUAGCCCAGAGAAAUUUGGAUUAAUACCGCAUAGUAUACAGAUUCAGCAUUGGGACUGUAUUAAACAUUUAUGGGUAAGAGAUGGGCAUGCGUUCUAUUAGUUAGUUGGAGUGGUAACGGCACCCCAAGACAGCGAUAGAUAGGGGCCCUGAGAGGGGGAUCCCCCGACACUGGUACUGAGACACGGACCAGACUCCUACGGGAGGCAGCAGUGAGGAAUAUUGGACAAUGGGCGAGAGCCUGAUCCAGCCAUGCCGCGUGUGUGAAGAAGGCC